GACGAACCGAGCGAACGUUGUUCGGAAUCACUGGGCUUAAAGGGCGCGUAGGCGGGUGCUCAAGUCUGUGGUGAAAUCCUCCAGCUUAACUGGAGAACUGCCAUGGAUACUGGGUGUCUCGAGGAACGUAGGGGUAUGCGGAACGAUUGGUGGAGCGGUGAAAUGCGUUGAUAUCAAUCGGAACUCCGGUGGCGAAGGCGGCAUACUGGACGUUAUCUGACGCUGAGGCGCGAAAGCUAGGGGAGCAAGCGGG
Molecule: ribosomal RNA, 253 nt
Filed under: uncultured bacterium
Lineage: Bacteria
Description: partial 16S ribosomal RNA
Rfam family: Bacterial small subunit ribosomal RNA
Source: RNAcentral